RNAcentral lists this ribosomal RNA (139 nucleotides) under uncultured eukaryote. Its description in RNAcentral is "partial 18S ribosomal RNA". It matches the Rfam family "Eukaryotic small subunit ribosomal RNA", at positions 1299 to 1458 of the family's 1831-position model. The record is from RNAcentral.
UGGUGGAGUGAUUUGUCUGGUUAAUUCCGUUAACGAACGAGACCUCAGCCUACUAAAUAGCACGACAAACAUUUUUGUUUGCUGGUGCUUCUUAGAGGGACUUUCGGUUUCGAGCCGAAGGAAGUUUGAGGCAAUAACA